RNAcentral lists this long non-coding RNA (769 nucleotides) under Hordeum vulgare. RNAcentral describes it as "long non-coding RNA (HVUL_LNC008166)". The record is from RNAcentral. Lineage: Eukaryota; Viridiplantae; Streptophyta; Magnoliopsida; Poales; Poaceae.
GAAGCCGACGCACAAGAACACAGUCCACGACAAGGCCACGCAUGCCGUCGUAGACGCUGUCCGUUUCUUUUAACUACUACGUACUCGCUUAGUGUCGACACCUAUCUCUUUGUAUCUGUGUAUAUACCUACUCGUAAAAUAAAUAGAUACUAUUAUGGAUAUCUGGUUUGGCUCUAGGAAAAACAUGCUCUUGCGUGUCAAAAUUAAGUUUUACAAAUGUCAAAAAUAUUCAAGAAAAUAGAUGUAUUCGAUGUGAUACCCAAAUGAACAUGCAAAUUUGCAGGUGAAAGGCUGGAGCAUUUUGACAUAUGUAAAAAAAAAUCAAUUGAACGCUAAAUGUUAGCUUCAAAUAUUAGACUUAAUUUUGUUUUUUCGGCGACAAAGCACUGGUAUCCUAUAUGACAUGAAAAUUGUCAAGCACACUACCACACUAAUACGAGCAUCUACAAAACAGUCACAAUUUUUAAAUUUGUUUACUAUUUAGUUUGAUUUUAUUGUUCAUUGGGAAGCGUAUACUUCUAGAGCCAAAAAAAUCCACAUCUGGUAUUCUUAAUCCGCCAUAUUAUAUUGCACAACCACCUGUUGUUUCUUGUAAUCAACACGUAGUUCAACUUGAAGUUGGAUUUUUAACUUUUGUGGUAAGCCCUUGAUAAUUGGGUUAAUCCACCCACAAUAAAUAUCAAAUAUUUUAAAAAUAUAUUCAUAUAUUUUAAACGUUUACUUCAAAUUUAACAUGUUUUAUAUGAAAUGUGAUUAAAAUAAUACGUGG